Molecule: ribosomal RNA, 232 nt
Filed under: uncultured bacterium
Lineage: Bacteria
Description: partial 16S ribosomal RNA
Rfam family: Bacterial small subunit ribosomal RNA
Source: RNAcentral
CGGACGGGUGAGUAAUGUCUGGGAAACUGCCUGAUGGAGGGGGAUAACUACUGGAAACGGUAGCUAAUACCGCAUAACGUCGCAAGGCCAAAGAGGGGGACCUUCGGGCCUCUUGCCAUCGGAUGUGCCCAGAUGGGAUUAGCUAGUAGGUGGGGUAACGGCUCACCUAGGCGACGAUCCCUAGCUGGUCUGAGAGGAUGACCAGCCACACUGGAACUGAGGCACGGUCCAG